GACGUAGGAUGCAAGCGUUGUCCGGAUUUAUUGGGCGUAAAGAGUUCGUAGGUGGUUCGUUAAGUCUGAUGUUAAAGACUGGGGCUCAACCCUGGAAGUGCAUUGGAUACUGGCGGACUCGAGUGUGGUAGAGGCAAUCGGAAUUCCAGGUGUAGCGGUGAAAUGCGUAGAUAUCUGGAAGAACACCGGUGGCGCAAGCGGAUUGCUGGGCCAUAACUGACACUGAGGAACGAAAGCUAGGGGAGCGAAUGGG
Molecule: ribosomal RNA, 253 nt
Filed under: uncultured bacterium
Lineage: Bacteria
Description: partial 16S ribosomal RNA
Rfam family: Bacterial small subunit ribosomal RNA
Source: RNAcentral